Molecule: long non-coding RNA, 1692 nt
Filed under: Triticum aestivum (bread wheat)
Lineage: Eukaryota; Viridiplantae; Streptophyta; Magnoliopsida; Poales; Poaceae
Description: long non-coding RNA (TAES_LNC006064)
Source: RNAcentral
ACGCCUCCAGGCCAUCUAGCUCGCUCGGAUUACGGCCGUCGGCGGCGGUGCUUCCAGAGGUGAGCGGCAUGGCAGGGGCGGGGGCGGAGGAGGCGGUGGUGGGCGAGAGCUUCGAGUUCGCCUUUGACAAGGAGGCCUUCUCCGACAAGAAGCUGCGGGUCGAGGUCGUCGGCAGCGACGACGCCGCCAGCCGCAAGCGCCGCCGCGAGGACGACAAAAGUGAGCACAGCACCUCCGGCAGAUCCAUCGCAUCUCCCCCACUUCUUUGCGCGCAAAUUAAACCCCUACGCAACUCGGAUCUGGAUUUGUGUGAUUUUCUCCUCUGUUCGUUCGUUAGGGAUCUGUGGGUAGGUAAAGGGGGAGCAAAACAGAGGAGAUGUUUUUCUUAAAUAAAAAAAGUUUGGAUUUUUGAGCUGUACGCCUGUACUCUACGAUGUAAUCCAGGCGACUGAUUUGGAUGCAGCACAUCUGUGGCCACAUAUUUGGAUGUAGCAGUAGUUUUCAGCAGACUGCAUCAUACCAUUACCAGUAAGAUAUAGUACUCCUUAGAAUUUAUUUUGCAUGCGAUAGGUCUGCAGGACCAGCGGGAUGCGGACUGGUUAAGGGUAGUUACUAUGUGUGAUUCGUGUUUCCGUGGCUGUCUGUGUGAUCCAGGCAGCACAAUUCUUCAGACUCAGAUCCAAGGAAAACAAGCUGAUCAAUUAUUUCACAUCUUUCACAAGAGAAACGUGAUUUGCUUGAUUGCUGCAUUGAAUCUGCAGUUGUUAAAUCUCUGGAUGUAGCAUCGAAAGGUCCAACACAAGUAGAAGGACAGAUUCAUCAAAACUGUUAUAUUUCUGAAUGUAUACAUGGAUAUGUAGAAAUAUGUUUAGGUUUUUAUUUUUUUUUGCGAAUAAGAAAUAUAUUUAGUUAGGAGGUGUGGAGUGAGGAGCUCCUAAAUCUCUAGAACUCUCUCCAUAACCCUGCUCUCUGUUCCACAUUUCAUCUCAAUUUCUGUCGUUUUGCAUUGAUACAUUUACAGUCGAUAUUAUUCUGCUCAUAAUCACUUACUUUUAGUUAGUACGAACACUUGUGCACUGUCGUACACACCGGUAAUGUUGGUACAGUACUAGCACAGUCCAUUCGUCAACUAUAUGUAGUACUAGUUGACUAUUUUUUCAUAAACGAGCAACAUACUAUUUACGACCCAGUCCUAGUGAGAUACCAUGCUACUGCUUCUAGUUGGUUGGGAGGUAUGGAAUACUGAUUAAUUACAUAAAAGAAGAUAACAUUGCAAGACUUUAGUCUGGUGUUUGUCACUUGAGUGCAAGUUGAACAAAAUUCUAAUAAGAUCCCUGUGGUAACUUUUGUGAAUACUUCACUCACCGACAUAUGAGCGUGCUUAUUAUGCUUGAUGCAGCUCAAUAGGUGUCCAGUUUUUUGUAUGUUCAACAUUUUGUUGCUUUUCUAUAGGUUGAUUAAAUGAAUGUGCGACAUAGAGAACAUGUUGUUCCAAAUAUUUGAACAGCAAAAAUCUUGUCUAGGAAUUUCGUUAAAAACCUUCCACUCCCUAAUUUUGCACACUUUCUCUGUAUUUAUCUGACAUUGGUAUUUUGCAGGUGAUGAAGGAGAAUGUGUUGAUUCUUCUUCUAUAGUGAUGGCUGCACCAACUUUACGAGUCACUACCAUGCAUAUCAAUUCGGCCAUUCUUGC